Molecule: ribosomal RNA, 403 nt
Filed under: uncultured bacterium
Lineage: Bacteria
Description: partial 16S ribosomal RNA
Rfam family: Bacterial small subunit ribosomal RNA
Source: RNAcentral
GACGAACGCUGGCGGCGUGCCUAAUACAUGCAAGUCGAACGCAGUGGGGACGGGUGAGUAACACGUGGGUAACCUCCCAUCAGAGGGGAUAACACUUGGAAACAGGUGCUAACCCGAUACCGAUGGAUGGACACGGGUGGCAUUAGCUAGGUGGGGAGGUAACGGCUCACCAAGGCCACGAUGCAUAGCCGCCCGGAGAGGGUGAUCGGCCACACUGGGACGGAGACUGGGCCCAGACUCAUACGGGCGGCAGCGGUGGGGAAUCUUCGGCAAGGGACGAAAGUCUGACCGAGCAACGCCGCGUGAGUGAAGAAGGUUUUCGGAUCGUAAGACUCUGUUGUUAGAGAAGCGGUAUCUAACCAGAAAGCCACGGCUAACUACGUGCCAGCAGCCGCGGUAAUAC